RNAcentral lists this ribosomal RNA (579 nucleotides) under uncultured bacterium. Its description in RNAcentral is "bacterial SSU rRNA". It matches the Rfam family "Bacterial small subunit ribosomal RNA", at positions 102 to 694 of the family's 1533-position model. The record is from RNAcentral.
ACGGGUGAGUAACGCGUGGGCAACCUGCCUAUCACAGGGGGAUAACACAGGGAAACUUGUGCUAAUACCGCAUAACACAACGAGGUAGCAUUACCUUGCUGUCAAAGGAGCAAUCCGGUGAUAGAUGGGCCCGCGUCCAAUUAGCUAGUUGGUGAUGUAACGGACCACCAAGGCGACGAUUGGUAGCCGAACUGAGAGGUUGAUCGGCCACAUUGGGACUGAGACACGGCCCAGACUCCUACGGGAGGCAGCAGUGGGGAAUAUUGCACAAUGGGGGAAACCCUGAUGCAGCAACGCCGCGUGAAGGAUGAAGGUUUUCGGAUUGUAAACUUCUUUAGUCAGGGACGAAUAAAAUGACGGUACCUGAAGAAUAAGCCACGGCUAACUACGUGCCAGCAGCCGCGGUAAUACGUAGGUGGCGAGCGUUGUCCGGAAUUACUGGGUGUAAAGGGCGUGUAGGCGGGAAUGUAAGUCAGAUGUGAAAUCCCAGGGCUCAACCCUGGAGCUGCAUCUGAAACUAUGUUUCUUGAGUGUCGGAGAGGAAAGCGGAAUUCCUAGUGUAGCGGUGAAAUGCGUAGA